RNAcentral lists this long non-coding RNA (207 nucleotides) under Setaria italica (foxtail millet). Its description in RNAcentral is "long non-coding RNA (SITA_LNC000418)". The record is from RNAcentral. Lineage: Eukaryota; Viridiplantae; Streptophyta; Magnoliopsida; Poales; Poaceae.
CCGGGUAUCAUUGGUGCCAUAGAUCGCCUCAAGCGCCAAAGGGCGGAGCUCGCCAAGGAGAUGGAGCAGGUGACCAAGGACAUAGCCGUUGAAGAGAAGAGACUCCAAGACCUUCCUUCUGUCAUCACUAAACUGAAGCAAGAGAGACAAAACCUGGCCCAUGAAGCAAUCAGACUCCAUCGCCAUAUGCCAGAAGUCCCAGGAUCG